This 301-nucleotide ribosomal RNA is filed under the name uncultured bacterium. RNAcentral's name for it is "partial 16S ribosomal RNA". It matches the Rfam family "Bacterial small subunit ribosomal RNA", at positions 509 to 807 of the family's 1533-position model. The record is from RNAcentral.
CAGUCGCCGCGGGAAAACGGAGGGUGCAAGCGUUAAUCGGAAUUACUGGGCGUAAAGCGCACGCAGGCGGUCUGUCAAGUCGGAUGUGAAAUCCCCGGGCUCAACCUGGGAACUGCAUUCGAAACUGGCAGGCUAGAGUCUUGUAGAGGGGGGUAGAAUUCCAGGUGUAGCGGUGAAAUGCGUAGAGAUCUGGAGGAAUACCGGUGGCGAAGGCGGCCCCCUAGACAAAGACUGACGCUCAGGUGCGAAAGCGUGGGGAGCAAACAGGAUUAGAGACCCCGGUAGUCCCUGUCUCUUAUAC